Molecule: unclassified non-coding RNA, 146 nt
Filed under: soil metagenome
Description: partial internal transcribed spacer 1
Source: RNAcentral
CCGAGUUUACAACUCCCAAACCCCUGUGAACAUACCACUUGUUGCCUCGGCGGAUCAGCCCGCUCCCGUAAAACGGGACGGCCCGCCAGAGGACCCCUAACUCUGUUUCUAUAUGUAACUUCUGAGUAAAACCAUAAAAUAAAUCA